This is a long non-coding RNA of Scatophagus argus, 2323 nucleotides long. RefSeq lists it as uncharacterized. The record is from RefSeq and is a predicted model, not a curated record. The transcript is spliced from 4 exons. Lineage: Eukaryota; Metazoa; Chordata; Actinopteri; Scatophagidae.
CAGGGUCAUCGGAGGUGCUGAGUUCUCCGAGGUUAAGUCAGUUGAGGGCCGGAGCACUGCUCGGUGGAAGCGUGGGGGUGUCGUCUCUAAAUGCAUCCGACUGAAGUCUGCUAUGUUGGCCGGGGGAAUGCACUGCUCCAGGAACAGGUCCUCCUCGUCUUCCUCCAUGUCCAUGUUCUCUGGAGGCCAGCGCAGCUCACCACUCUCCACUUCGCUCACCUCUGUGGGUUCCACAACAAUGGAGGGCAGGCGUUCCUUCUCAUGGUCGUGGUCCAGGCUGUUCAAGGUGGUCUCUGGGCCCAGGACAACCUCAACAGGGUCCGGGAAAAUCUGGAGGAGAAAAGGGAGGAGAGAUGAAGACAUGAAAAGAUGUACUGAAUAAAAGCUGAGGGGGGAUUAAGAAGGACUGAGGAUCUGUCCGAAUCGUCUGUUUAUCCCUCUUUCCCGCUCCCGCUCUAGUCUCAGUGUCUGUCUUCUCUGAAGUCUCAUGGGUGUUGUCUUCACUUGUGAAAUUCACACACCGGAGAAGAUUCUUAAUUUCUACAUCAAGAUUGAACUUUCAGUGCCAGUUCAGGGGCAUCUGGAGGACACAAAGGAGAACUCAACCUGGGGAAAAUCCACAGGUCUUGCUUAUGUGAAUAAUAUUUGUAGCUGAAAUGAACACACACAUACAAAUAUGCAAACUUCAGCAGCCUCUUACCCCUCACUUGCAGUCAGGCAGCCAUCUUCUCCAUCUUGGCACAGCUUCACAGUGGUGAAGCCUGGCUCCUCCACACUGGGCACAGGUGACAUGAGGGGGAGUGCAGGGGGAGGUGAGCAGCUCCUGCAGCAUUCCCCCUCCGCAGAGCCCUCAGUGAGGCUUUUGGCCUCCAGGGCGAAGCCUGGAUGGAGGAGGGGAAUGGGUUCCCAGGAGUCCCAGGAGUUUAGCUGAAGAUCAGGAGAUGGAUGUGUGCCUGGUUUUCUUUGGGACAGCACCUGUCUCACUUGUCAGUGCUGAGUCUGUCUGCUAGCCCAAAACCUACAUGCACUCCUUUGUCUCCUGUAUCCAACUUCCUUCCUCAUGUCUCUUUCAAUAUCACUCCCUGUCCCACCCCACUGCCAGGCUUUGGAGAGGAGCAGGAUUAGCGUCUCUUUCGAUUACAGAGGCUGGAUGGGUGACGUCAGCCAGGCUUGACCGUUCCCUCUGAUGAGUUUGCAGACUGGGUCAAUGGUGCAUCUGUACAGAAACACAUAAAGGGCGCACAAACAUGGCAUGCUGUUGAUGGAAAUUAAUUUGAAUCAGGAGGAAAAUGAACUGUGAACUGCUCACAAAAUGAACAAGGAGAAGUUUUGCACCUUAUAAUUUGGCUUCCUUUAUGUCUUCCCCAUCCUGUCUGUUUGGACCAUGCCUCUCUCUGCCUUUUCCCCUAUGUGUUGUCGCUCCCUCAGUGGAUUUAGAUUUGGCCGAUUCAUGGAAUUAGCCCAGGGAUCAAGGGCUCAGGGGUGGAGAGGGGAUGGAUAUAUAUAUAACAGGCUCCAACCACUGCUAAACAGACAGAGCACUGUUACCAGCAGUGUGUAAUCCCCUGUGUAGGCUAAGUCAGUAGGUUAUAUAUGGAACAAGGUAGUGAGGGAACUAGUGCAGGAUGAAGGGCGUUCUGCUCCUGCAGAACUUCUGUUAUGCUGAUUUUGCACAUAGCGCCAUCUUUUUUGCACUACUAUCCUUCCCACUACAACAACAUCUUUCUAUUUGUAUUAUAAUUUAAAACACUCAUGUUACACAGAUGUUACAUAUACUGUGUGUAUUCUUUGUACAUACAUGUGCUGAGGCUAUAAACAUAUACGUUUAUAUGUAACUAUAUAUUGCAAAUAUAACUUACUUUUUCUUUUGUUUUUUUUUUCCUUUAGUGCCACUUUUAUAGUUUGUUCUACUUAAUAGUCUAUUUUCAUGUUGAUAAUAAAAUUUUGGAAUCACAUAAUGACAAAUAAAACCUUCAACUUUGAGUUAAGUGAAAAAAGAGCAUCCUCCAAAUAAUUUCAGAUUUUUACAGUUCAAAAGUGUCUGUAAUCACUCUCCUUAACAGAGACAGGACUUUUCCUUCAGAACUCACGUGUUUGUGUAUCACUUGAGUAUUUAUGAUAUAUCACAGCAGGAUAUACAUAUGCUGCUCCUGUCAAAGCUGAUUUUAAUGCAACUGUCAUGACCACACCCGUUAUUACUUAUUACAGAUAAAAAUCCAGAACAACCACAACAUUUAAUAUUUUGCAAAGUAUAAUUUAUUGUUUAUUGAGACUCCAGUAAUCGUGUAAUAUAAAACCUCUCUCCACAUGCAUUAUGCUGUAU